AAAUGACUGAGCAUUUGGGCGGCAACCAACCGACCCACCUUCACCGCCGGCGCGCCGCCGCGGCCGUAUCCGCCAGUCGCGGGGGAGCGCUAGCUGGAUCGGAAUCCGAGGGGAUCUUGUCCUGGUAACUGCUGAGGCCAAUCUGUCAUAAGCUGAAUCAACUAGAGCUAUCUCAGAUAUUUGUAUUCAUGACGUCUACAUUUCCUUCUGUUUCUAGAGUUAAGUCAUUUCAUGGAGAUAUCCUUGUGGUGCGCUGGUGCUUCUAGUCAGCUUGAGGAUUUAAGUUCUAAUGACUUUCUUUUCGUAUCUACUGAUGUUUCUAUCGCAGCUUAUGCAUUCUGUCAUUCUCACAAAAGCAUGCAGUUAAUUCCACACCUGAUGUUAAAGAGUUGCAUGGGGAGUGGAAGGAGUGGCGCCCUACUGAGUGUUCAGUGUUGGAGGAUGCGACUCAGGUCCAAAAAACGGGUUUAGUUCCUUCCUGACAACAACCACUGAGUUGAAAAUAUCACUCAGUCAUUAUUACCUCAUUCAGAAGAAGUGUCAUCCUUUAGCAAUAUAUGACAUCACUCUGUCGUUCUUCUUGAAGUUCUGGUAUAUCAAAUGUGCUCCAUAGACUCUGGUGGAAAAGUGGAAACUGACAGUGAAACGCCACAAAGUUUCCUUAGUUCUUUACCUGUAGAUGAAGCAUGAUGCAUCUGUUAGUGGGAGUGUCUAAAGUUUUUCUGUCUCUUCAGUGAUCGGGUUAGUGUUGACUCCCAAUGAAUCUGUAAUUUGUGAGGCCCAUCCAUGCAAACGGAGUUUGUUAUGUUUGCUGUUCUUGAGCUAAACCAGUGGGGUAUGCAAUCGAAGUACGUGGCAUACCUUCAGGAUGUAUACAUGAUAGUAUAAGGCCCGGUCCAAAAUGGGUUGCUUUCCAGUUUUCAGAUAUGUUUCUUGCAGCAGGUUUUGUUGCCUUUUGGAAUGUGAACAUUGGUGACCUAGCCAUGUCAUUAGUGCUCUUCAACAAUGCAGAACAGACCUGGAGAUGCCAUUGAAAGGCUCUGUUGCAGAUGGAAAUGAGCAUGUCAAAAAUUUUGAAGGCUCUGUUGCAGAUGGAAAUAAGCAUGCCAAAAAUUUUGAAGGCUCUGUUGCAGAUGGAAAUAAGCAUGUCAAAAUUUUCAUACCAGGUUACUCAUGCAUACAUCUUUUCCUGACGAAAGCGAUAUUAGUGUUGGUUUUAUGGACAGAAGGCUUCCAUUUCAGGAGGAUUCUGCUUUUUGUCGGAGAUUCUGUUGUUUGCUCCUGCCUGGGAUAUCUGUACCUCUUUGUGACCUUCCUGUGGUCCUUACGCCAACUUCUAUUUCAUCCUUUUCAUGCAUGGUGAUGCUAUCAUUUUUUGGCAACGGGUUUUGCUUGUGGUAGCACAAGCAAUGCUCUGAACUUAUCAUCAGUGAUCAGGUCUUGAAAAAAAGUGGAAAACCUGUCAAAGAGAAGUUUUGGAUAGAGCUUUGGUGCAUGAAUGUCCUGCACUAGGCCACCAGCAGACAUGCUCUGAUCAGUCUGCUGGGAUAACAUUAAAGCCUCUUAUCGUACGAGAAAUCCUCAAAAUUUCAGUUUAUGA
Setaria italica (foxtail millet) is the source of this 1600-nucleotide long non-coding RNA. RefSeq lists it as uncharacterized. The transcript is spliced from 2 exons. The record is from RefSeq and is a predicted model, not a curated record. Lineage: Eukaryota; Viridiplantae; Streptophyta; Magnoliopsida; Poales; Poaceae.